GUGUUCCCUUCGGCAGCACACAUGCUACAGUUGGAAGGAUACAGAGAAGAUCAGCAUGGUCCCUCGCAAAGAUCAUCAUGCUUAUCAAAUCAAAAAAGAAAAGGUUCU
Vulpes vulpes (red fox) is the source of this 108-nucleotide small nuclear RNA. NCBI's taxonomy places the organism in Eukaryota, Metazoa, Chordata, Mammalia, Carnivora, Canidae. The record is from Ensembl.